Molecule: ribosomal RNA, 468 nt
Filed under: uncultured bacterium
Lineage: Bacteria
Description: partial 16S ribosomal RNA
Rfam family: Bacterial small subunit ribosomal RNA
Source: RNAcentral
GACGAACGCUGGCGGCGUGCUUAACACAUGCAAGUCGAACGGAAAGGCCCUGCUUUUGUGGGGUGCUCGAGUGGCGAACGGGUGAGUAACACGUGAGUAACCUGCCCUUGACUUUGGGAUAACUUCAGGAAACUGGGGCUAAUACCGGAUAGGAGCUCCUGCUGCAUGGUGGGGGUUGGAAGGUUUCGGCGGUUGGGGAUGGACUCGCGGCUUAUCAGCUUGAUGGUGGGGUAGUGGCUUACCAAGGCUUUGACGGGUAGCCGGCCUGAGAGGGUGACCGGCCACAUUGGGACUGAGAUACGGCCCAGACUCCUACGGGAGGCAGCAGUGGGGAAUAUUGCACAAUGGGCGGAAGCCUGAUGCAGCAACGCCGCGUGCGGGAUGACGGCCUUCGGGUUGUAAACCGCUUUCGCCUGUGACGAAGCGUGAGUGACGGUAAUGGGUAAAGAAGCACCGGCUAACUACGUG